Small nuclear RNA from Suricata suricatta (meerkat), 107 nucleotides. Lineage: Eukaryota; Metazoa; Chordata; Mammalia; Carnivora; Herpestidae. The record is from Ensembl.
GGGCUCACUUUGGCAGCACAUAUACUAAAAUUGGAAUGAUACAGAGAAGAUUAGCAUGGCCCCUGCACAAAGAAAUAAAUUCCAAAAUAGAUGAAAACUAAAUUUAC